RNAcentral lists this non-coding RNA (53 nucleotides) under Trypanosoma brucei brucei. Lineage: Eukaryota; Euglenozoa; Kinetoplastea; Trypanosomatida; Trypanosomatidae. The record is from RNAcentral.
AUACAAAUAACUGUAUAUAGCGGCGAGUAAGUUCAGUGAGUAUAAGGAUAUAU